Molecule: long non-coding RNA, 1649 nt
Organism: Belonocnema kinseyi
Lineage: Eukaryota; Metazoa; Arthropoda; Insecta; Hymenoptera; Cynipidae
Exons: 2
Source: RefSeq, a predicted model, not a curated record
AGAUAUGAGAAUGUAGAUGACGUACGCAAGAAAUGAUUAAAAAAUAUUCAACCCCUUCGGCCUAAAAAUUCGCGUGUGAUCUAACCUAAACUGUGCCUAAUACGUAUUAUUGGACUCUUCUUGAUCUUUCCUCAUUUGGGUGUGAAGACUCCUAAAGUAAUUUUCUUAAUCCGAAUGGAAGGAGGUGUGAUACGAAAUAAAUUCGAAAGGCCGUUAAUUAAAAAUUUCAAUAAGACAUUCAGAAGGACUUUAUUUGAUUUACAGCAGAGUGUUUUACGUUCACGAAUCGAAAUUACAUUUUUAUAGAAAGAGAAAAAAAACAAAAUCUAACUAAGUCUACUACCCACAAUCUCACCAUUAUAAAGACCUAAGCCCAUGCGUAACAAUGACUCAAUCGGGAACUACGAUUAAGGUUUAUUUUGAUGAUCGCGGACACGACUCAAGCACGCUAGAAAAAUCCGGAAAAACACUCGCGGCACUUAGUAGGUGGCGAAACCCAUGGUAGGAACACAUGGCGGAUGUCUUAACUAAUCACUCAUCAAAUAAGAAAAACAAAACUUGCAAGGAGACAGCCCGUAUGACCAUGGAUUUUUCCGAAACUUAAAACCUCACACCCGCGCAGUUCCCGAGUUUUCCAAGGUCUCCUAUCGCCAUCGGAGAAAGGUGAAGAAGUUAGGCUCGUAAGAGUCGCUCAUGGUAUACUUUUAGAGUCCUAAGAAUUUUUAGAGUGUAGUCUCGUAAGGUUAGAACAAGAGUGACAUGUCAAUAUGGCAGCGGAACAGACUAAACUCAAGUUUUACAAAUCAAAAUUUACUGGCCAAUCAGAGCCGUCGACGGGAUCACGUGAACGGGUAUCGCAAGGAAGUCGCGUUCGUAGGCUCGUAUUUAUUCGGAAAUGCACUCCGGUCUAUAGUUUUACUUACUAAUUUUCUGGGCUUCAGAAUACAUUUGGCAGUUUCAUUUUAUACCAAAUAUUUAGUAGAGGUUAUAAUGCGCCGGUUGGGUGACAUACCCAUGAGGAAGAUUUAAUGCAAUGAGAAUUCGCUUUCUCAUUACGGAAACGGGGCUCGGUGCCCGCUAGUGACUCCGUUGCACAAUGGUCUCGGUCGUCCGGAUGGUGGCGGCCUCUCUUCAGUAUUGGCGGGAAAGGUUUAGACCUUCAAAUAAAAUUUCGUAGAUUUCCUCUUCGCUGGUAGGUUUGGACUCCGUGAAAAGUAUGGAAGAAGAGGAGAAAACGUAAAAAUAAAUAAAAAAUAAUAAGAGGUAAGGCCGAGAGUGUUUCCUGGUGAUUGUUCUGUGUUGAUGACCCUUGUUCAAACCUUCCACGUAGGCCUAGUAUUUUGGUGAGUUUACAAUUUCCUAAGGAGGGGUAGUUUUAAGUGACGGAUGCUAAAAUUAUAUCCCGUCACAAUUCCCCCUGCUUAAAAGGAAAUUACAGGUGGUUUAAAGUUUCAGCAAAUAAUUUCUGGUCAGACUUGUAAUUUCCGAAGUUAGUGGGUCGGUUCCAACCAUGGGCAGUCGAGACAACCUCCAAGAUAUUCUCGCCUUCAGUAAAAGAAAAGAGAAAUCAUAAAACAAGAAUAAAGAUUGUUUCACCGACAACUCCCGGUUGAAGAUGGUCAGUAAUAAAAAAAACUUAGAAGAGAGGC